UACGUAGGAGGCAAGCGUUGUCCGGAAUUACUGGGCGUAAAGCGCGUGUAGGUGGUGGGACAAGUCUGCUGUGAAAGCGCCUGGCUUAACCGGGCGAGGUCGGCGGGAACUGUCCGACUAGAGGACGGUAGAGGGGGGUGGAAUUCCCGGUGUAGUGGUGAAAUGCGUAGAGAUCGGGAGGAACACCGAUGGCGAAGGCAGGUCUCUGGGCUGACACUGACGCUCAUGCACGAAAGCGUGGGGAGCAAACAGG
This 253-nucleotide ribosomal RNA is filed under the name uncultured bacterium. RNAcentral's name for it is "partial 16S ribosomal RNA". It matches the Rfam family "Bacterial small subunit ribosomal RNA", at positions 524 to 776 of the family's 1533-position model. The record is from RNAcentral.